GAUGAACGCUGGCGGCGUGCCUAAUACAUGCAAGUCGAGCGAACAGACGAGGAGCUUGCUCCUUCGACGUUAGCGGCGGACGGGUGAGUAACACGUAGGUAACCUACCUAUAAGACUGGGAUAACUUCGGGAAACCGGAGCUAAUACCGGAUAAUAUUUCGAACCGCAUGGUUCGAUAGUGAAAGAUGGCUUUGCUAUCACUUAUAGAUGGACCUGCGCCGUAUUAGCUAGUUGGUAAGGUAACGGCUUACCAAGGCAACGAUACGUAGCCGACCUGAGAGGGGGUUGGGCCACACUGGACCUGAGACCCGUCCAAGACCCUUAGGGGAGGCAGCAGUAGGAAUUCUUCGGCAAUGGGGGAAGCCUUGACGAGCAACGCCGCGUGAGUGAUGAAGGUCUUCGGAUCGUAAAACUCUGUUAUUAGGGAAGAACAAACGUGUAAGUAACUGUGCACGUCUUGACGGUACCUAAUCAGAAAGCCACGGCUAACUACGUG
Molecule: ribosomal RNA, 496 nt
Filed under: uncultured bacterium
Lineage: Bacteria
Description: partial 16S ribosomal RNA
Rfam family: Bacterial small subunit ribosomal RNA
Source: RNAcentral